Non-coding RNA from Heterocephalus glaber (naked mole-rat), 303 nucleotides. The record is from Rfam. NCBI's taxonomy places the organism in Eukaryota, Metazoa, Chordata, Mammalia, Rodentia, Bathyergidae.
GGAUGUGAGGGUGAUUUGGCUGAAACAUCUGCCACCCCGUUGAUUGCCAGGGUUGAUUCAGCUGAUCUGACUGGCUAGGCAGGUGUCCUCUUCCUCCCUUACCAUUCAAUGUGCAUCCCUCCUGAAGCUGCAUACUACAUUGAAAGAGGAAGACCACCCCUGAUAGAGAAAUACCUUUUUCUUAGUCAAGGGUAUACGAGUAGCUGCGCUUCCCCGCUAGAACCUCCAAACAAGCUCUCAAGAAGCCUGAGCCUUCAAUUGACCAACCUGAGUUACAACCAGCCCUCAGGAAUGAAUUGAGCU